RNAcentral lists this ribosomal RNA (475 nucleotides) under uncultured bacterium. Its description in RNAcentral is "bacterial SSU rRNA". It matches the Rfam family "Bacterial small subunit ribosomal RNA", at positions 26 to 518 of the family's 1533-position model. The record is from RNAcentral.
AGGACGAACGCUGGCGGCGUGCCUAACACAUGCAAGUCGAGCGAGGAGAUCCUUCGGGAUGAUCCUAGCGGCGGACGGGUGAGUAACACGUGGGCAACCUGCCUCAUAGAGAGGAAUAGCCUUCCGAAAGGGAGAUUAAUACCUCAUAACAUUGCAGUUUCGCAUGGAACAGCAAUUAAAGGAGCAAUCCACUAUGAGAUGGGCCCGCGGCGCAUUAGCUAGUUGGUGAGGUAACGGCUCACCAAGGCGACGAUGCGUAGCCGACCUGAGAGGGUGAUCGGCCACAUUGGGACUGAGACACGGCCCAGACUCCUACGGGAGGCAGCAGUGGGGAAUAUUGCACAAUGGGGGAAACCCUGAUGCCAGCAACGCCGCGUGAGUGAUGACGGCCUUCGGGUUGUAAAGCUCUGUCUUCAGGGACGAUAAUGACGGUACCUGAGGAGGAAGCCACGGCUAACUACGUGCCAGCCGCCGC